ACUACUCAACACCAUCAACUUGUUUAUUCAUUUGACUGGUGCUUGGAUGUUGAAGGCUUGCUGGUAAUUUCUCAUUAUCAGCUCCUUUCAAACACAUGAGCARGACUACUACAUGCAACUGGCUCCAAUUUGAUAAGCUAGUUAUCUGUGUUGUUGCUAGGAAUAAUGUAAUUGUCUGCUACCAAUUGUCCCAAAUCUGGGACUUGCCUUUAGGCAACUAUUUGAACCCU
This 230-nucleotide unclassified non-coding RNA is filed under the name Clavaria aff. zollingeri PBM3386. RNAcentral describes it as "partial internal transcribe spacer 2". Lineage: Eukaryota; Fungi; Basidiomycota; Agaricomycetes; Agaricales; Clavariaceae. The record is from RNAcentral.